GGCUCUGUGGCCCAAUGGUUAAGGCGCCUGACUACGAAUCAGGAGAUUCCGCGUUCGACUCGCGGCAGAGUCA
Molecule: transfer RNA, 73 nt
Organism: Ramazzottius varieornatus
Lineage: Eukaryota; Metazoa; Tardigrada; Eutardigrada; Parachela; Ramazzottiidae
Rfam family: tRNA
About the family: Transfer RNA (tRNA) molecules are approximately 80 nucleotides in length.
Source: Rfam